This 373-nucleotide unclassified non-coding RNA is filed under the name Hevea brasiliensis (rubber tree). Lineage: Eukaryota; Viridiplantae; Streptophyta; Magnoliopsida; Malpighiales; Euphorbiaceae. The record is from RNAcentral.
AAUCAAUCAGCAACUCCAAAUCCUCAACUGUACAUACAAUUUGUAACAAACUAUCAGAACCCUGAAGGUCAGAUGAGGCUAAGGGUUACAACCAUUACGCGAAGAUGGGUAGAUGGUUCAAACAAAGAGGAAUUAGUUGAGGGGUUUGACCAGGAAACAUCAGCUGUUGUAUUGGCAAGAUACAUAUCAUUGAAAAUGGAAAUGGAGGAAGAAUUUGAUGCAACACGAUGGUUGGACAGAUCGCUCAUCCGCCUUUGUUCACGAUUUGGCGAAUAUCGGAAAGACGAUCCUGCUUCGUUUAAUAUACAUCCUAAUUUUUCAAUAUUUCCACAAUUUAUGUUUAAUUUGCGUCGGUCACAGUUCGUACAGGUUU